Molecule: ribosomal RNA, 441 nt
Filed under: uncultured bacterium
Lineage: Bacteria
Description: partial 16S ribosomal RNA
Rfam family: Bacterial small subunit ribosomal RNA
Source: RNAcentral
CCUACGGGUGGCAGCAGUGGGGAAUAUUGCACAAUGGGGGAAACCCUGAUGCAGCAACGCCGCGUGAAGGAAGACGGUUUUCGGAUCGUAAACCUCUGUCCUCAGUGAAGAAGAUGGACGGUAGUGAAGGAGCAAGCCACGGCUAACUACGUGCCAGCAGCCGCGGUAAUAGGUAGGUGGCAAGCGUUGUCCGGAAUUCCUGGGUGUAAAGGGAGCGCAGGCGGGAAGCCAAGCCAGCUGUGAAAACUACGGGCUUAACUUGUAGACUGCUGUUGAAACUGGUUUCCUUGAGUGAAGUAGGGGUUGGCGGAAUUCCGGGUGUAGCGGUGAAAUGCGUAGAUAUUCGGAGGAACACCGGUGGCGAAGGCGGCCAACUGGGCUUUAACUGACGCUGAGGCUCGAAAGUGUGGGGAGCAAACAGGAUUAGAUACCCCAGUAGUC